This 205-nucleotide long non-coding RNA is filed under the name Elaeis guineensis (African oil palm). RNAcentral describes it as "long non-coding RNA (EGUI_LNC032444)". Lineage: Eukaryota; Viridiplantae; Streptophyta; Magnoliopsida; Arecales; Arecaceae. The record is from RNAcentral.
GUGUGAUGAUCGGCUAAGUGCCAAUGUCUGUGAUACUAUUCGGAUCCAUGAUAUUGCUUAAAUCACCUAUUUCGAACUACCAGGUCAUGAUGCUAUGCAUUUGCCAUGCCUUCAAAAAUUGGACACCUCGACAAGGGACCAAAUAUGGCAUAACACUUUGCCACCCACUUUCUAGUGCUAAAUACUUCACAUUGAGAAGUAGGUC